RNAcentral lists this ribosomal RNA (253 nucleotides) under uncultured bacterium. RNAcentral's name for it is "partial 16S ribosomal RNA". It matches the Rfam family "Bacterial small subunit ribosomal RNA", at positions 524 to 776 of the family's 1533-position model. The record is from RNAcentral.
UACGUAGGGGGCUAGCGUUGUCCGGAAUCAUUGGGCGUAAAGAGCGUGUAGGCGGUCCGGUAAGUCCGCUGUGAAAGUCGGGGGCUCAACCCUCGAAUGCCGGUGGAUACUGUCGGGCUAGAGUGCGGAAGAGGCGAGUGGAAUUCCUGGUGUAGCGGUGAAAUGCGCAGAUAUCAGGAGGAACACCUGCGGCGAAGGCGGGUUGCUGGGCCGACACUGACGCUGAGGCGCGAAGGUCAGGGGAGCAAACGGG